RNAcentral lists this ribosomal RNA (495 nucleotides) under uncultured bacterium. Its description in RNAcentral is "partial 16S ribosomal RNA". It matches the Rfam family "Bacterial small subunit ribosomal RNA", at positions 28 to 507 of the family's 1533-position model. The record is from RNAcentral.
GACGAACGCUGGCGGCGUGCCUAAUACAUGCCAGUAGAACGCUGAAGGAGGAGCUUGCUUCUCUGGAUGAGUUGCGAACGGGUGAGUAACGCGUAGGUAACCUGCCUGGUAGCGGGGGAUAACUAUUGGAAACGAUAGCUAAUACCGCAUAACAGUAGAUAUCGCAUGAUAUCUACUUGAAAGGUGCAAUUGCAUCACUACCAGAUGGACCUGCGUUGUAUUAGCUAGUUGGUGAGGUAACGGCUCACCAAGGCGACGAUACAUAGCCGACCUGAGAGGGUGAUCGGCCACACUGGGACUGAGACACGGCCCAGACUCCUACGGGAGGCAGCAGUAGGGAAUCUUCGGCAAUGGACGGAAGUCUGACCGAGCAACGCCGCGUGAGUGAAGAAGGGUUUCGGAUCGUAAAGCUCUGUUGUAAGAGAAGAACGAGUGUGAGAGUGGAAAGUUCACACUGUGACGGUAUCUUACCAGAAAGGGACGGCUAACUACGUG